GUGGGGAAUCUUGCGCAAUGGGCGAAAGCCUGACGCAGCCAUGCCGCGUGAAUGAUGAAGGUCUUAGGAUUGUAAAAUUCUUUCACCGGGGACGAUAAUGACGGUACCCGGAGAAGAAGCCCCGGCUAACUUCGUGCCAGCAGCCGCGGUAAUACGAAGGGGGCUAGCGUUGCUCGGAAUUACUGGGCGUAAAGGGCGCGUAGGCGGACAGUUUAGUCAGAGGUGAAAGCCCAGGGCUCAACCUUGGAAUUGCCUUUGAUACUGGCUGUCUUGAGUUUGGGAGAGGUGAGUGGAACUCCGAGUGUAGAGGUGAAAUUCGUAGAUAUUCGGAAGAACACCAGUGGCGAAGGCGACUCACUGGCCCAAUACUGACGCUGAGGCGCGAAAGCGUGGGGAGCAAACAGGAUUAGAUACCCGGGUAGUCC
Molecule: ribosomal RNA, 425 nt
Filed under: uncultured bacterium
Lineage: Bacteria
Description: partial 16S ribosomal RNA
Rfam family: Bacterial small subunit ribosomal RNA
Source: RNAcentral